UGCAGUCGAGCGGCAGCACGGGUACUUGUACCUGGUGGCGAGCGGCGGACGGGUGAGUAAUGCCUAGGAAUCUGCCUGGUAGUGGGGGAUAACGCUCGGAAACGGACGCUAAUACCGCAUACGCCCUACGGGAGAAAGCAGGGGACCUUCGGGCCUUGCGCUAUCAGAUGAGCCUAGGUCGGAUUAGCUAGUUGGUGAGGUAAUGGCUCACCAAGGCGACGAUCCGUAACUGGUCUGAGAGGAUGAUCAGUCACACUGGAACUGAGACACGGUCCAGACUCCUACGGGAGGCAGCAGUGGGGAAUAUUGGACAAUGGGCGAAAGCCUGAUCCAGCCAUGCCGCGUGUGUGAAGAAGGUCUUCGGAUUGUAAAGCACUUUAAGUUGGGAGGAAGGGCAGUUACCUAAUACGUGAUUGUUUUGACGUUACCGACAGAAUAAGCACCGGCUAACUCUGUGCCA
Molecule: ribosomal RNA, 460 nt
Filed under: Pseudomonas sp.
Lineage: Bacteria; Pseudomonadati; Pseudomonadota; Gammaproteobacteria; Pseudomonadales; Pseudomonadaceae
Description: bacterial SSU rRNA
Rfam family: Bacterial small subunit ribosomal RNA
Source: RNAcentral